RNAcentral lists this ribosomal RNA (468 nucleotides) under uncultured bacterium. RNAcentral describes it as "partial 16S ribosomal RNA". It matches the Rfam family "Bacterial small subunit ribosomal RNA", at positions 28 to 507 of the family's 1533-position model. The record is from RNAcentral.
GACGAACGCUGGCGGCGUGCUUAACACAUGCAAGUCGAACGGAAAGGCCCUGCUUUUGUGGGGUGCUCGAGUGGCGAACGGGUGAGUAACACGUGAGUAACCUGCCCUUGACUUUGGGAUAACUUCAGGAAACUGGGGCUAAUACCGGAUAGGAGCUCCUGCUGCAUGGUGGGGGUUGGAAAGUUUCGGCGGUUGGGGAUGGACUCGCGGCUUAUCAGCUUGUUGGUGGGGUAGUGGCUUACCAAGGCUUUGACGGGUAGCCGGCCUGAGAGGGUGACCGGCCACAUUGGGACUGAGAUACGGCCCAGACUCCUACGGGAGGCAGCAGUGGGGAAUAUUGCACAAUGGGCGGAAGCCUGAUGCAGCAACGCCGCGUGCUGGAUGACGGCCUUCGGGUUGUAAACCGCUUUCGCCUGUGACGAAGCGUGAGUGACGGUAAUGUGUAAAGAAGCACCGGCUAACUACGUG